Molecule: long non-coding RNA, 1498 nt
Filed under: Phascolarctos cinereus (koala)
Lineage: Eukaryota; Metazoa; Chordata; Mammalia; Diprotodontia; Phascolarctidae
Description: lncRNA (ENSPCIG00000033619.1)
Source: RNAcentral
CUCUAUUUUUAGUGCAGGGUAGCUGGAAAAAAUAAAAACCUUGGAUUAGGGAGUUCAGAGAUCUGGGCUGAGCAUUCACCUCAACAUUCACCUCUACGCCUGGGUUUCCUCAUGAGGCAAAAUGGUUAGAGGUUGAAACUAGAUUGUUAGUAUCCUAGUGCUCAAAGACCACCUAAUCUAGGCCCCUCAUUUUGAGACAAGGAAACUGAAAUAACCUCUAAAAUAACUUCUAGUCCUAAAAUUAUGAUUUCUGUUUCUGCAGUCUGAAGCUGGGAUUUUGUGUUUGCUGGGAGCUGAGAGUGAGGAGCACCAGCUAAACAGUUAGGGACACCUCCAAUGGAGGGAGGCUGCCCUGUGAGGGAGGGCAGCUUCAGAUCCAAAGGACUGGAGAACAGGAAUGAGGCUGGGCAGCUGCCCACACGUUUCCAGGGUAAACCACAGGGUACUGGCCAGAAUCAGGCCCAGCCCAGGACAAUGCACGGAGUCUUGUACGACUGAAGCAUAGUGAGUUCAUUAAAACUGGAGGCUUGGCAGUGCAGAGGAAAAUGAAGGCAGGUUGGCUUUCCUCCUCCUAGUAAUACCCCUAGAGAAGGUGAUCUCAGUAUCGUGCUCCGCACCUCUUCGGGAGAUUGGGGGUAAACUGCCUGUGGUCAUUCAGCGAGAACACAACUCCAUUCAUAUGUCCUGCGUCCUUAACAGGUGAGCCUUGAAGCUAAUUGCAGUAAACUGCUGGGCCUCACAGCCUAGUAAUUUAAGCUUUCUCUAAGUUCUGUUUGGGAACCUCUUUAAAGCUCAGUUUUUCUUCAAAGCAGCCUGGAAGGACUGAAUUUUAGAGGAUGUAGAAAAAAAAAGGACAAAUUCAAAAGAAUCAGUUGCAUUCUCCCCUUGCUGGGCCUAGAUAUCUGCCUUGGAUUGCUGGUGAUUCUAGCCCAGUUGCCUGGUGGAGGCCUUCUGGUAAAAGGUCCCUUUUACCUUGUAAGGGAGUCCUUCCUAUCUGUAUAAAUAUUUGGCUUUGUGGAAUUGAUAAGACAGCUGAACCCUUGGGAUCUCAACAGUAGAGGAAGAAAGCCAAGGCAGAUCCCUGGAAUUUUAAGAUUGUUGAAUAGUUAUAAUGAAGAAACUGCUUGAGGGUUGUUGGAUUUGCUUUGUUUUUGAAAUUUGGAAUUUGAGAGGCCGACCAUGAUGGGGCCACAAGGAUUUUGUCAUGGUUCUUCAGAGCCAACCGCUGGAGGAGAUAUUUGAAAGAACAAUGCGAAAUCCUUGCCAGGUCUCCAGAGUUCUGUUUUUUGAUUGGGCAUUUAGACAAACUCACCAAUUGCACCACAUUUAAUUAGCUGAGGACAAGCAGGGGAGCUGAGUCAGCUUAAAAAGAUUCCCCUCUUACCCCUGAACAGAGAACUGGGAACACUAAUAGGCACUUCCUCCAGGGAGGGGCCCUGAAGAACUCGGAGCAGAGGUCUCAGGAAUAUUUCCCCAGCCUGAGCAGAAAUAGCUACUU